Pygoscelis adeliae (Adelie penguin) is the source of this 317-nucleotide long non-coding RNA. RefSeq lists it as uncharacterized. Lineage: Eukaryota; Metazoa; Chordata; Aves; Sphenisciformes; Spheniscidae. The record is from RefSeq and is a predicted model, not a curated record. The transcript has 2 exons.
UUCGGUGUGACAGUGAAGAGAGCGGGGCAUGAUGGAUCGGAUUUGUCAGACGAAGAAUGCACGUGACCAUGACUGUUACAGGAAUGAGUUUCAUUUGAUUAUUUAACUCAGGUAUUUUCGAGUUCCUUUUACAAAAAAAUAACUAUACACAAUGUCUUAGAAGCCGUUUCUAAUGGAACGAACGCGGGACCGUUCCGGAUUUUAGCGAAGUCGUGUUUCACGUGCUCUGCAGAACUUGGGCUUGAACUUGACUUUUAAAGGGGAGCUCUCGGGGGGGAGCGCCCCGACUUCAAAAUUGGAAUAAAUACGUUUCGAAG